Molecule: ribosomal RNA, 406 nt
Filed under: Bacillus sp. SA1-12
Lineage: Bacteria; Bacillati; Bacillota; Bacilli; Caryophanales; Bacillaceae
Description: bacterial SSU rRNA
Rfam family: Bacterial small subunit ribosomal RNA
Source: RNAcentral
UUUAUUGGAGAGUUUGAUCCUGGCUCAGGACGAACGCUGGCGGCGUGCCUAAUACAUGCAAGUCGAGCGAAUCUGAGGGAGCUUGCUCCCGAAGAUUAGCGGCGGACGGGUGAGUAACACGUGGGUAACCUGCCUGUAAGAUUGGGAUAACUCCGGGAAACCGGAGCUAAUACCGGAUAACAUUUCGAACCGCAUGGUUCGAAGUUGAAAGGUGGCUUUUGCUACCACUUACAGAUGGACCCGCGGCGCAUUAGCUAGUUGGUGAGGUAACGGCUCACCAAGGCGACGAUGCGUAGCCGACCUGAGAGGGUGAUCGGCCACACUGGGACUGAGACACGGCCCAGACUCCUACGGGAGGCAGCAGUAGGGAAUCUUCCGCAAUGGACGAAAGUCUGACGGAGCAACG